AAUAAUUUUAAAAAACAGACCCAGUCUAACUACUAUAACAUCUAAAAUUUUUAAAAUAUAAUUCCCGACCUGUAUUUUAGACAGUACAGCACAAAGGACUACAAUGGCACUUUAGCAGAGGGAAGGAUUUUUUUCUUCUUAAUAGAAAAUAGAACUUGAACAGGGCCUUGUGGAAUUGGUUGCAGUUGAGAAGAGUUCAGUAGGGAAACAACAUGAACAAGGUCUUGGGAACGAAGAAUAGCAUUUUUAUGGAGAGUUAUGACAUAUGCCCUGAAGAGUAUCUCACUCUUAAGACAUUUAGUGAGAAAUGUCACACUGGCUUUGGUACCUAUGGUUGAAUUUAUGGCGAUAGUUCUUGUUUGACAACAUUUUAUUGUGAAAAUUUUCAAACAUGCAAAAAAGUUAAAAUAGUUAUAAAGUGAAUAAUUCUUAUACCUGCCACCUAAAUUCUACAGUUAACAUUUUACUUGUAAUCACAUAAUUUAUCUAUGAAUGGCCUUUGCUGUUUUUAUUCUCUAUUUGUCCUUUUAUUUCUUUUUAGAGAAGAGAAGGUGUUCUUAGUUCAGAUGAUGUCAUUGUAUUAGAUGAUUGCAAGGUUCUACUGGGAUAUGUGCUAAAUUGAAUCAAAGAAUGGGCUGAAGGUGCUGAAUAAGGAAAGUUGCUUAUCAGCUGGCCAGCAUGGGGAUCUGAAUCCUCGACCUUGGUGUUACACCACCACCCUGCCCUGUAACACACUACAGUGUUAUAAGACUGCCAUCUUGGUGGACUUCACUUGCCUUCCAGCUUGCAUACUUCCAUCAAGCAAGCUAUGAUGGCCAGGCCUUUGUGACAAGGAUUUCAAGGCAGCCUCCAAUCAACAGCCCACAUGGCACAGAAUCCUGCCAAUACCCAUGAGAGCACACUAGGAAGCAAAUCCUUCCCACCCGAACCUUGACUGCAGCCUGUGAGACCUUGAAAUGAAGGACCCAGCUGAGCCAUACCUGGAUUCCUGACCCAGAGACACUGAGAUGUUGCUAAAAUCCACUGUUUUAAGGUGAUUUGUUACACAGUAAUAGAUAACCAAUACAACAUACUCUGUAUGUACAACUCACAAUAAAGUCACUAACUCUGGA
Molecule: long non-coding RNA, 1112 nt
Organism: Galeopterus variegatus (Sunda flying lemur)
Lineage: Eukaryota; Metazoa; Chordata; Mammalia; Dermoptera; Cynocephalidae
Exons: 2
Source: RefSeq, a predicted model, not a curated record